AGUGAACGCUGGCGGUAGGCCUAACACAUGCAAGUCGAACGGCAGCACAGUAAGAGCUUGCUCUUACGGGUGGCGAGUGGCGGACGGGUGAGGAAUACAUCGGAAUCUACUUUUUCGUGGGGGAUAACGUAGGGAAACUUACGCUAAUACCGCAUACGACCUACGGGUGAAAGCAGGGGAUCUUCGGACCUUGCGCGAUUGAAUGAGCCGAUGUCGGAUUAGCUAGUUGGCGGGGUAAAGGCCCACCAAGGCGACGAUCCGUAGCUGGUCUGAGAGGAUGAUCGGACACACUGGAACUGAGACACGGUCCAGACUCCGACGGGAGGCAGCAGUAGGGAUUCUUCCGCAAUGGGCGAAAGCCUGACGGAGCAACUCCGCGUGAGUGAUGAAGGUCUUCGGAUCCUAAAACUCUUUUAUUAGGGAAGAACAAAUGUGUAAGUAUCUAUGCACGUCUGGACGGUACCUAAUCAGAAAGCCACGGCUUACUACGUG
RNAcentral lists this ribosomal RNA (492 nucleotides) under uncultured bacterium. RNAcentral describes it as "partial 16S ribosomal RNA". It matches the Rfam family "Bacterial small subunit ribosomal RNA", at positions 29 to 507 of the family's 1533-position model. The record is from RNAcentral.